AUUGAACGCUGGCGGCAGGCCUAACACAUGCAAGUCGAGCGGAUGAAGGGAGCUUGCUCCUGGAUUCAGCGGCGGACGGGUGAGUAAUGCCUAGGAAUCUGCCUGGUAGUGGGGGAUAACGUCCGGAAACGGGCGCUAAUACCGCAUACGUCCUGAGGGAGAAAGUGGGGGAUCUUCGGACCUCACGCUAUCAGAUGAGCCUAGGUCGGAUUAGCUAGUUGGUGGGGUAAAGGCCUACCAAGGCGACGAUCCGUAGCUGGUCUGAGAGGAUGAUCAGUCACACUGGAACUGAGACACGGUCCAGACUCCUGCGGGAGGCAGCAGUGGGGAAUAUUGGACAAUGGGCGAAAGCCUGAUCCAGCCAUGCCGCGUGUGUGAAGAAGGUCUUCGGAUUGUAAAGCACUUUAAGUUGGGAGGAAGGGCAGUAAGUUAAUACCUUGCUGUUUUGACGUUACCAACAGAAUAAGCACCGGCUAACUUCGUG
RNAcentral lists this ribosomal RNA (484 nucleotides) under uncultured bacterium. RNAcentral's name for it is "partial 16S ribosomal RNA". It matches the Rfam family "Bacterial small subunit ribosomal RNA", at positions 30 to 507 of the family's 1533-position model. The record is from RNAcentral.